Molecule: ribosomal RNA, 254 nt
Filed under: uncultured bacterium
Lineage: Bacteria
Description: partial 16S ribosomal RNA
Rfam family: Bacterial small subunit ribosomal RNA
Source: RNAcentral
UACGUAGGUGGCAAGCGUUGUCCGGAAUUAUUGGGCGUAAAGCGCGCGCAGGCGGCCUCUUAAGUCUGAUGUGAAAGCCCACGGCUCAACCGUGGAGGGUCAUUGGAAACUGGGGGACUUGAGUGCAGGAGAGAAGAGUGGAAUUCCACGUGUAGCGGUGAAAUGCGUAGAGAUGUGGAGGAACACCAGUGGCGAAGGCGACUCUUUGGCCUGUAACUGACGCUGAGGCGCGAAAAGCGUGGGGAGCAAACAGG